CGCACUGAGUUUCCAACCUCCAUUUCAGCCUGUCUGUCUCAGGGUGCAGCCUUAAUGAGAGGUGAUUCCCAAGCUGCUGGGAACCUGAGGCUGUCAAAGGGGCGGCAGGAAAUGGACAGCAGUAUAAAACCCAGAAGCAGAACUUGAAGGUUAAACCACUAGCCCAUUUCACAGAUUUUCUCCAGGAAACAUGUUUUACUUGUGCACGUUCAGUUGUUUUCAAAUUUUCAGGUGUGAACGCUGGUGAGAGCUGCUUAAAAACAAAGCUAUGGGCCGGGCGCGGUGGCUCACACCUGUAAUCCUCACAUUUUGGGAGGCUGAGGCGGGCGGAUCACUUGAGGUCAGGAGUUCAAGACCAGCCUGGCCAACAUGGUGAAACCCCGUCUCCACUAAAAACACAAAAAUUAGCCGGGCGUGUGGUGGCGGGCCCCUGUAAUCCCAGCUACUCGGGAGGCUGAGGCAGGAGAAUCGCUUGAACCCGGGAGGCAGAGGCUGCAGUGAGCCGAGAUCACGCCACUGCACCCUGCACACUGCACUGGUGACAGAGCGAGACUCCGUCUCAAAAAAAAAAAAAAAA
Molecule: small RNA, 577 nt
Filed under: Pan troglodytes (chimpanzee)
Lineage: Eukaryota; Metazoa; Chordata; Mammalia; Primates; Hominidae
Description: processed transcript
Source: RNAcentral